This is a small nucleolar RNA of Rattus norvegicus (Norway rat), 135 nucleotides long. Ensembl annotates it as small nucleolar RNA SNORA17. Lineage: Eukaryota; Metazoa; Chordata; Mammalia; Rodentia; Muridae. The record is from Ensembl.
CCUCCCACUAGAAGCAAUACAGAUGUGGCCACUGUGGCACAUGUGAGUCAGUAGGUAGCAGAGAGGAGAGAGGCUAUAUCUUCUAUGCUCAGUGCUCUGACCUAUGAACAUUUGAAUGAUUAGUAGUCUAACAUU